UCUAUGGGGAUAUCUUGUCCC
RNAcentral lists this small nuclear RNA (21 nucleotides) under Arabidopsis thaliana (thale cress). RNAcentral describes it as "snRNA_14579". Lineage: Eukaryota; Viridiplantae; Streptophyta; Magnoliopsida; Brassicales; Brassicaceae. The record is from RNAcentral.